This 379-nucleotide unclassified non-coding RNA is filed under the name uncultured bacterium. Its description in RNAcentral is "contains 16S-23S intergenic spacer region". The record is from RNAcentral.
UCCGAGUUGACCCCGGCAGUCUCCUACGAGUCCCCGGCAUUACCCGCUGGCAACAUAGGACAAGGGUUGCGCUCGUUGCGGGACUUAACCCAACAUCUCACGACACGAGCUGACGACAGCCAUGCAGCACCUGUCUCCGCGCCCCUUGCGGGGACCACCCAUCUCUGGGCUUAGCGCGGGAUGUCAAACCCUGGUAAGGUUCUUCGCGUUGCAUCGAAUUAAGCCACAUACUCCACCGCUUGUGCAGGCCCCCGUCAAUUCCUUUGAGUUUUAGUCUUGCGACCGUACUCCCCAGGCGGGAUGCUUAACGCGUUAGCUUCGCUACUGACCGGGUCGAUACGGCCAACAGCUAGCAUCCAUAGUUUACGGCGUGGACUAC